This 467-nucleotide ribosomal RNA is filed under the name uncultured bacterium. Its description in RNAcentral is "partial 16S ribosomal RNA". It matches the Rfam family "Bacterial small subunit ribosomal RNA", at positions 28 to 507 of the family's 1533-position model. The record is from RNAcentral.
GACGAACGCUGGCGGCGUGCUUAACACAUGCAAGUCGAACGGAAAGGCCCUGCUUUUGUGGGGUGCUCGAGUGGCGAACGGGUGAGUAACACGUGAGUAACCUGCCCUUGACUUUGGGAUAACUUCAGGAAACUGGGGCUAAUACCGGAUAGGAGCUCCUGCUGCAUGGUGGGGGUUGGAAAGUUUCGGCGGUUGGGGAUGGACUCGCGGCUUAUCAGCUUGUUGGUGGGGUAGUGGCUUACCAAGGCUUUGACGGGUAGCCGGCCUGAGAGGGUGACCGGCCACAUGGGACCUAGGAAAGGGCCCAGACUCCUACGGGAGGCAGCGGUGGGAAUAUUGCACAAUGGGCGGAAGCCUGAUGCAGCAACGCCGCGUGCGGGAUGACGGCCUUCGGGUUGUAAACCGCUUUCGCCUGUGACGAAGCGUGAGUGACGGUAAUGGGUAAAGAAGCACCGGCUAACUACGUG